GACGAACGCUGGCGGCGUGCUUAACACAUGCAAGUCGAACGGAAAGGCCCUGCUUUUGUGGGGUGCUCGAGUGGCGAACGGGUGAGUAACACGUGAGUAACCUGCCCUUGACUUUGGGAUAACUUCAGGAAACUGGGGCUAAUACCGGAUAGGAGCUCCUGCUGCAUGGUGGGGGUUGGAAAGUUUCGGCGGUUGGGGAUGGACUCGCGGCUUAUCAGCUUGUUGGUGGGGUAGUGGCUUACCAAGGCUUUGACGGGUAGCCGGCCUGAGAGGGUGACCGGCCACAUUGGGACUGAGAUACGGCCCAGACUCCUACGGGAGGCAGCAGUGGGGGAUAUUGCACAAUGGGCGGAAGCCUGAUGCAGCAACGCCGCGUGCGGGAUGACGGCCUUCGGGUUGUAAACCGCCUUCGCCUGUGACGAAGCGUGAGUGACGGUAAUGGGUAAAGAAGCACCGGCUAACUACGUG
Molecule: ribosomal RNA, 468 nt
Filed under: uncultured bacterium
Lineage: Bacteria
Description: partial 16S ribosomal RNA
Rfam family: Bacterial small subunit ribosomal RNA
Source: RNAcentral